AUUGAACGCUGGCGGCGUGCCUAACACAUGCAAGUCGAGCGGUAACAGGUGUAGCAAUACAUGCUGACGAGCGGCGGACGGGUGAGUAACGCUUGGGAAUCUGCCUGUUAGUGGGGGACAACCCGGGGAAACUCGGGCUAAUACCGCAUACGCACUACGGUGGAAAGCCGGGGACCGCAAGGCCUGGCGCUAACAGAUGA
RNAcentral lists this ribosomal RNA (200 nucleotides) under uncultured bacterium. RNAcentral describes it as "partial 16S ribosomal RNA". It matches the Rfam family "Bacterial small subunit ribosomal RNA", at positions 30 to 228 of the family's 1533-position model. The record is from RNAcentral.